UGAGGAAUAUUGGUCAAUGGGCGAGAGCCUGAACCAGCCAAGUCGCGUGAGGGAGUACUGCCCUAUGGGUUGUAAACCUCUUUUGUCGGGGAGCAAAAGCCGGACGUGUCCGGCUGUGAGAGUACCCGAAGAAAAAGCAUCGGCUAACUCCGUGCCAGCAGCCGCGGUAAUACGGAGGAUGCGAGCGUUAUCCGGAUUUAUUGGGUUUAAAGGGUGCGCAGGCGGAUUUUUAAGUCAGCGGUCAAAUCGUGGGGCUCAACCCCAUCCAGCCGUUGAAACUGGGGAUCUAGAGUGUGCGAGAGGUAUGCGGAAUGCGUGGUGUAGCGGUGAAAUGCAUAGAUAUCACGCAGAACCCCGAUUGCGAAGGCAGCAUACCGGUGCACAACUGACGCUCAGGCACGAAAGCGUGGGUAUCGAACA
This 420-nucleotide ribosomal RNA is filed under the name uncultured bacterium. RNAcentral describes it as "bacterial SSU rRNA". It matches the Rfam family "Bacterial small subunit ribosomal RNA", at positions 355 to 774 of the family's 1533-position model. The record is from RNAcentral.